GCCUGUUUUACAAAAACAUAGCCUAUAACUUAACUUUAGGUACAACCCUGCCCUCUGAAAUUUUAACAGCCGCGGUAUCCUAACCGUGCUAAGGUAGCAUAAUCAUUUGCCUAUUAAUUAUAGGCUAGCAUGAACGGGAUCACUCACUUAAAUUUAUUUUCACUACAAUUAAAAUUAAACUUUAAGUUAAAAUACUAAAUUUUUAAGAAAGACAAAAAGACCCUGAAAACUAUUAGAAGAUAAUUAGUUGGGGCAACUAUAGACCAUAAACAGCGUCUAUUAAAAUUCGAAUUUUAAAAUUCAAAGCACACAGUUACUUCAGGGAUAACAGACUAAUUGUAUUAUUUAGACCUAAUAAAUAAUAAAGAUUGGCACCUCGAUGUUGGCUUAUAAUUCCUUCAUAUAGUAACAUAUAUUGAUGGCAGCUGUCAUCUGAUAAAUAUUUACAUGAGCUGAGUUCAGACCGGCGUAAGC
Molecule: ribosomal RNA, 474 nt
Filed under: Stygocapitella sp. 169_32
Lineage: Eukaryota; Metazoa; Annelida; Polychaeta; Parergodrilidae
Description: partial large subunit ribosomal RNA
Rfam family: Bacterial large subunit ribosomal RNA
Source: RNAcentral